This 433-nucleotide ribosomal RNA is filed under the name uncultured bacterium. RNAcentral describes it as "partial 16S ribosomal RNA". It matches the Rfam family "Bacterial small subunit ribosomal RNA", at positions 29 to 507 of the family's 1533-position model. The record is from RNAcentral.
AACGAACGCUGGCGGCAUGCCUAACACAUGCAAGUCGAACGAGACCUUCGGGUCUAGUGGCGCACGGGUGCGUAACGCGUGGGAACCUGCCCUUAGGUUCGGGAUAACUCCCCGAAAGGGGUGCUAAUACCGGAUAAUGUCUUCGGACCAAAGAUUUAUCGCCUUUGGAUGGGCCCGCGUUGGAUUAGCUAGUUGGUAGGGUAAAAGCCUACCAAGGCGACGAUCCAUAGCUGGUCUGAGAGGAUGAUCAGCCACACUGGGACUGAGACACGGCCCAGACUCCUACGGGAGGCAGCAGUGGGGAAUAUUGGACAAUGGGCGAAAGCCUGAUCAAGCAAUGCCGCGUGAGUGAUGAAGGCCUUAGGGUUGUAAAGCUCUUUUAACCGGGAUGAUAAUGACAGUACCGGGAGAAUAAGCUCCGGCUAACUCCGUG